AGAGUUUGAUCAUGGCUCAGAACGAACGCUGGCGGCAGGCCUCAAACAUGCAAGUCUAGGGGGUGUAGCAAUACAUCACCGGCGGACGGGUGCGUAACGCGUGGGAAUAUACCUAUUGGUUCGGAACAACUGAGGGAAACUUCAGCUAAUACCGGAUAAGCCCUUACGGGGAAAGAUUUCUCGCCAAUAGAUUAGCCCGCGUCCGAUUAGCUAGUUGGUGGGGUAAAAGCCUACCAAGGCAACGAUCGGUAGCUGUUCUGAGAGGAAGAUCAGCCACACUGGGACUGAGACACGGCCCAGACUCCUACGGGAGGCAGCAGUUGGGAAUCUUGGACAAUGGGGGAAACCCUGAUCCAGCCAUGCCGCGUGAGUGAUGAAGGCCUUCGGGUUGUAAAACUCUUUCGACGGGGACGAUAAUGACGGUACCCGUAGAAGAAGCUCCGGCUAACUUCGUGCCAGCAGCCGCGGUAAUACGAAGGGGGCUAGCGUUGUUCGGAAUUACUGGGCGUAAAGCGCGCGCAGGCGGUCUUCCAAGUCAGUGGUGAAAGCCCGGAGCUCAACUCCGGAAUUGCCAUUGAAACUGUGAGACUGGAGUACGAGAGAGGUGAGUGGAAUUCCCAGUGUAGAGGUGAAAUUCGUAGAUAUUGGGAAGAACACCGGUGGCGAAGGCGGCUCACUGGCUCGUAACUGACGCUCAGGCGCGACAGCGUGGGGAUCAAACAGGAUUAGAUACCCUGGUAGUCCACGCCGUAAACGAUGAUUGCUAGCCGUUGGGCAGCUUGCUGUUCAGUGGCGCAGCUAACGCAUUAAGCAAUCCGCCUGGGGAGUACGGCCGCAAGGUUGAAACUCAAAGGAAUUGACGGGGGCCCGCACAAGCGGUGGAGCAUGUGGUUUAAUUCGACGCAACGCGCAGAACCUUACCAGGGUUUGACAUCCUGAGACCGCCUCUUAAUAGGGGUUUUCCCGCAAGGGACUCAGAGACAGGUGCUGCAUGGCUG
RNAcentral lists this ribosomal RNA (998 nucleotides) under uncultured bacterium. RNAcentral's name for it is "bacterial SSU rRNA". It matches the Rfam family "Bacterial small subunit ribosomal RNA", at positions 8 to 1051 of the family's 1533-position model. The record is from RNAcentral.